RNAcentral lists this ribosomal RNA (504 nucleotides) under uncultured bacterium. Its description in RNAcentral is "bacterial SSU rRNA". It matches the Rfam family "Bacterial small subunit ribosomal RNA", at positions 43 to 507 of the family's 1533-position model. The record is from RNAcentral.
CGUGCCUAAUACAUGCAAGUCGAACGCACUCUCGUUUAGAUUGAAGGAGCUUGCUCCUGAUUGAUAAACAUUUGAGUGAGUGGCGGACGGGUGAGUAACACGUGGGUAACCUGCCCUAAAGUGGGGGAUAACAUUUGGAAACAGAUGCUAAUACCGCAUAAAACCUAACACCGCAUGGUGUAGGGUUGAAAGAUGGUUUCGGCUAUCACUUUAGGAUGGACCCGCGGUGCAUUAGUUAGUUGGUGAGGUAAAGGCUCACCAAGACCGUGAUGCAUAGCCGACCUGAGAGGGUAAUCGGCCACACUGGGACUGAGACACGGCCCAGACUCCUACGGGAGGCAGCAGUAGGGAAUCUUCCACAAUGGACGAAAGUCUGAUGGAGCAACGCCGCGUGAGUGAAGAAGGUUUUCGGAUCGUAAACUCUGUUGUUGGAGAAGAAUGUAUCUGAUAGUAACUGAUCAGGUAGUGACGGUAUCCAACCAGAAAGCCACGGCUAACUACGUG